RNAcentral lists this ribosomal RNA (497 nucleotides) under uncultured bacterium. Its description in RNAcentral is "partial 16S ribosomal RNA". It matches the Rfam family "Bacterial small subunit ribosomal RNA", at positions 28 to 507 of the family's 1533-position model. The record is from RNAcentral.
GAUGAACGCUGGCGGCGCGCCUAAUACAUGCAAGUCGAGCGAACAGACGAGGAGCUUGCUCCUCUGACGUUAGCGGCGGACGGGUGAGUAACACGUGGAUAACCUACCUAUAAGACUGGGAUAACUUCGGGAAACCGGAGCUAAUACCGGAUAACAUGUUGAACCGCAUGGUUCAACAGUGAAAGACGGUCUUGCUGUCACUUAUAGAUGGAUCCGCGCCGCAUUGGCUAGUUGGUAAGGUAACGGCUUACCAAGGCAACGAUGCGUAGCCGACCUGAGAGGGUGAUCGGCCACACUGGAACUGAGACACGGUCCAGACCCCUACGGGAGGCAGCAGUAGGGAAUCUUCCGCAAUGGGCGAAAGCCUGACGGAGCAACGCCGCGUGAGUGAUGAAGGUCUUCGGAUCGUAAAACUCUGUUAUUAGGGAAGAACAAAUGUGUAAGUAACUAUGCACGUCUUGACGGUACCUAAUCAGAAAGCCACGGCUAACUACGUG